CUUGAGUGAACGUGGUUGCCCAUGUAUGAUAACAUGUAUACGGUCCUUGAAUAUAGCUUCCACGGACGGCCUAGGUAUGUUGGGAAGCUUGAUUUGGCGGCGGCGAGUUCCGGUGUGGGUAGGAUUCGACAUGCAUGGAUUGAAAUACCGGUGUUUUGGUUCGGGUCUUUUCGGUUUUGGGCUGUGAUGGUGUUUUUUUGUUGGGACAUGGGUUUCCGGGCGUAAAGGCUACAGUUUUGGAGUACUACGGCGGCGUUGCCGAAAAUGAAAUCAACUGUUCCGUAAACGUCGCAUUCGCGGUAGAAUUGACGGUUGGAGUGGACGUAUAAAGUGUCUUGGUAACCGAUGAUGUUGCACCUGUAUACGACGGCGUGGUCAGCUCCGACUCGAAGAGCCACUGCUUGGUGCUUGGCGGGUCCGGCAUAGUUCUCGAAUGUCAUGUCCCUUGCAAUAAAACCAGCCCCAGUUGCCGCUGAAAGUGAAAACAAACCAAUGAAUGAUACAGCUUUCUUUGAAAAUGAAGCAAAUUAGAACGUGAUUAGCUACGAAAUUUGUGGGAAUUUUUUUUUCGCUUUGAUAAUAAUAAUUAUAACAUGACAAGUAAUUAUGAUACGAAUAAGAACAAAUUAAAUAUUGCAUAAUAUAUGACCACUUUAUAAACGAAAAAACUAAUUUAGACAAUCCCUACCUCAAUUUUUAUUAAAAAAAAAUAACACAAGGUUUGUAAUUUCCAAUUGUAUGGACAAGAAGUAUAUAAGAUAAAGUGGCUUAAGAAUCUAGGGCUUUGUCUGUCUAAUAACACCCCACGUGCGAUUUCUAACAUCAUGCACCAUGGACAAGCUUAAUAGUUUACUAUUUUAUUUGAUAAUUUAAUUAUUUUAAUUAUAUUAUAAUGUAUAUUUAGUGGAGGAAAUAAAAUAAGAAGGGUGAAACUGACCAAAGGCAGCAGUGUGGAAAGUAGUCAUGUGCUCGGCUACACUUUUUCCUCCUGUAAUCACUGUUUUACCUUUUCCGUCACCUAUAAACAUCAAGUUUAUUUUCUUCCUCCCCACCUUCAAAUUAUCCUCUUCGUACCUGUAAAAAUUAUAUUUAUCAUAAAAUUUUAAAAAUUUAAUUAAUUAUCCAAAAACCAAUUAAUAUUGAUUAAGAUUAUCCAAAAAGAAUAUUACAUGACACAAUUAGAUAUUUUUAAUCUGUAAAUAUCAAUAGCAGUAACGUAAAGGUGAUGUCAGAAAAGCCAAAAGGGGAAAAGUUUGUAAUAAAAUUUGACUUUUUUAUCAUAACGGAAAAUUUUACCUUCCUGCCUUCACGUAGAUGAUGAUCCGACGAGUACUAUGCUCCGGCGCCUUUUUAAUCGCCUCAGCAAUCGUUUUAACGGUGCCGCUUCCAUCUUUCGAGACGGUUAUAUCGGCCUGGAUCCCCGACACGGGCUUGUUCAGCAGCUCCCUCUCUUUUCUCCCCAGCCAUUUCGGGAAAUUCUCCUCGUCGACAUUCCCUCCCGAUAAAUCGUCAUCCGCCGAUAGCAGCCUCCGGUUCUGAAUAGGAACUCCGGCGAAAUCGUCUCCGCCGCUAGCAGCGAAGAUCGACAGGCAGUUACUUACCAGCUCCGACAAGUCCUUCAGUUUGUCAGUCACUUGAUCCUUCACCGUCCCGCUCACUCCAUCGAAUCCCUCCGUACACGUGUCAUGGUUCGUCAGCGCGGCGCUGAGCCACGUCAUCACGUCCUGGGGUGAUCCUCCGCCAUUGUUUCCGCCGUCCUGGGAGGGAAUAAUGGACGACAGGGAACGGGAGAGCGCGUCGACGGAAUCAUCAAGAAGCUCGAGGCAAUCGUCGUACGCCGACCGUACACGUGGUUCCAUCUGGACGAAUGAGAUCGAGUUGGCCAUAUAAAGCGCUUUACUAAAGUGCUGCAGCGUCAUAUUGAAUGAAAUGUGAACCAGGUCUUGCUCAUUAGCAGUGAGCGAGCCAGGGAACUCGAGGAGUGAGUUGACACAGAGGUUCGGGAACCGAGUCCUACUACAAGUUUUAGAAAUAGCUUGUGUCGGCUUACGUCGGACUUGGGUACCGACGGGAUCAGCACCGGCUACACGGAGACCAAUCACGAGCCCGGCACAAACAGCCGAGGCAACGAUCAUCGUCAAUGCA
Molecule: long non-coding RNA, 2145 nt
Filed under: Gossypium barbadense (sea-island cotton)
Lineage: Eukaryota; Viridiplantae; Streptophyta; Magnoliopsida; Malvales; Malvaceae
Description: long non-coding RNA (GBAR_LNC012014)
Source: RNAcentral